CGCCUUGCCAGCCCGCUCAGAAACUUAAAGGAAUUGACGGGGCCGCACAAGCGGUGGAGUAUGUGGUUUAAUUCGAUGCAACGCGAAGAACCUUACCUGGUCUUGACAUCCCGGAGACCCUUAGGAAACUAGGGGGUGCUUCCAUCUGGAAGAAUCUGGAGACAGGUGCUGCAUGGCUGUCGUCAGCUCGUGUCGUGAGAUGUUGGGUUAAGUCCCGCAACGAGCGCAACCCUUGCCUUUAGUUGCCAGCAGUUCGGCUGGGCACUCUAAAGGGACUGCCGGUGUUAAACCGGAGGAAGGUGGGGAUGACGUCAAGUCCUCAUGGCCUUUAUGACCAGGGCUACACACGUACUACAAUGGCCGAUACAAAGGGCAGCGACACUGCGAGGUGAAGCCAAUCCCGUAAAAUCGGUCUCAGUCCGGAUUGGAGUCUGCAACUCGACUCCAUGAAGUUGGAAUCGCUAGUAAUCGUGGAUCAGCAUGCCACGGUGAAUACGUUCCCGGGCCUU
This 509-nucleotide ribosomal RNA is filed under the name uncultured Desulfobulbus sp. Its description in RNAcentral is "bacterial SSU rRNA". It matches the Rfam family "Bacterial small subunit ribosomal RNA", at positions 903 to 1382 of the family's 1533-position model. The record is from RNAcentral. Lineage: Bacteria; Pseudomonadati; Thermodesulfobacteriota; Desulfobulbia; Desulfobulbales; Desulfobulbaceae.